GUUAUUUUCAGAAUGUAGAUACCUAGUGUAUAGUCUAAACAAGGAUAGAUAACUGCUGAAAAGGUGGUUCAGCAGGUAGAAUGGAUGAAUAGUCAAGAAAAGUAGUUAUCAUCUGUAGUAUAGGAGUUGGUAUCUCGGGGUAGUAUAAGGAGGAUGGGAGAGGGGAAGAAAAUGCCAGACUGUGAAAGUUGUGAGCCGAGGUAAGCUUGGUGCUACCUCUUUUCUUUUGUUUGUUAUUUUCUUUGAAUAAGAGGAUUGAAAGUUUCUGAAUAUUGUGAAGUGAAUUAUGGAAAUGUGAUUGGUAUUAUUUGAGAAGAAGAAAGAUUGAAUGCUGAAAUCUGAUUGUAGUUCACCAGAGAGAAUGAAUCUGUGUUUGUGUGAAAUACUGUAAUGUGAAUGGCAGUUCUGUGUGAAGAAUUCCAAAGAUUGGAACGAGGGUAAUUGUGUACUGAAAGUUGUGAGGGCACAGUAUUACAGUUGGAGAUUAUGGAGGUGAAUAUAUUGGUAGAAAUAGCAGUUAUUAGUAUGACUGAAUUGUUGUAAGGAAGAGACUGAUAAAGUGAAGGAGGAGAUUCUAGUUUCCUUAUGUGUUCAGAUAUUGGAAAUAGAGACGAUACAUUCAGGAGGUAAUUGAUUGUAUGACCCUAACGUGAACGCUUAAGCAACUAGUCAUUCUCCGUGUUUGAAUCCCCCUAUAUGGGUUUAUGCUGGGAGGUUUUUUUUAGAAUAAGUAAAACAAGCAAUCACAUUUUGGCGCUGCUGCCGGGGAGUGAUAAUAGCUUUGAGUGUUAGGAAUUAAUUACCAAAUGUGUGAGAAAAUUGGCAAUGGGAGACGAU
Molecule: long non-coding RNA, 837 nt
Filed under: Physcomitrium patens
Lineage: Eukaryota; Viridiplantae; Streptophyta; Bryopsida; Funariales; Funariaceae
Description: long non-coding RNA (PPAT_LNC001892)
Source: RNAcentral